AGUGAACGCUGGCGGUAGGCCUAACACAUGCAAGUCGAACGGCAGCACAGGAGAGCUUGCUCUCUGGGUGGCGAGUGGCGGACGGGUGAGGAAUACAUCGGAAUCUACUCUGUCGUGGGGGAUAACGUAGGGAAACUUACGCUAAUACCGCAUACGACCUACGGGUGAAAGCAGGGGACCUUCGGGCCUUGCGCGAUUGAAUGAGCCGAUGUCGGAUUAGCUAGUUGGCGGGGUAAAGGCCCACCAAGGCGCCGAGCCGUAGCUGGUCUGAGAGGAUGAUCAGACACACUGGAACUGAGACACGGUCCAGGCUCCUACGGGAGGCAGCAGUGGGGAAUAUUGGACAAUGGGCGCAAGCCUGAUCCAGCCAUACCGCGUGGGUGAAGAAGGCCUUCGGGUUGUAAAGCCCUUUUGUUGGGAAAGAAAUCCAGCUGGCUAAUACCCGGUUGGGAUGACGGUACCCAAAGAAUAAGCACCGGCUAACUUCGUGCCAGCCGCCGCAGUAA
RNAcentral lists this ribosomal RNA (506 nucleotides) under uncultured bacterium. RNAcentral describes it as "partial 16S ribosomal RNA". It matches the Rfam family "Bacterial small subunit ribosomal RNA", at positions 29 to 523 of the family's 1533-position model. The record is from RNAcentral.